RNAcentral lists this ribosomal RNA (253 nucleotides) under uncultured bacterium. Its description in RNAcentral is "partial 16S ribosomal RNA". It matches the Rfam family "Bacterial small subunit ribosomal RNA", at positions 524 to 776 of the family's 1533-position model. The record is from RNAcentral.
GACGAACUGUCCUAACGUUGUUCGGAAUCACUGGGCUUAAAGGGCGCGUAGGCGGUCCGACAAGUCAGGGGUGAAAUCCUACAGCUUAACUGUAGAAGUGCCUUUGAUACUGUCGGUCUUGAGGGAAAUAGGGGUGUGCGGAACUUCCAGUGGAGCGGUGAAAUGCGUUGAUAUUGGAAGGAACGCCGGAGGCGAAAGCGGCGCACUGGAUUUCUUCUGACGCUGAGGCGCGAAAGCUAGGGGAGCAAACGGG